RNAcentral lists this non-coding RNA (30 nucleotides) under Rattus norvegicus (Norway rat). The record is from RNAcentral. Lineage: Eukaryota; Metazoa; Chordata; Mammalia; Rodentia; Muridae.
UACUGGCCACAGCCUCAGCAUCUAGCCUGU